Molecule: small RNA, 274 nt
Filed under: Arabidopsis thaliana (thale cress)
Lineage: Eukaryota; Viridiplantae; Streptophyta; Magnoliopsida; Brassicales; Brassicaceae
Description: ATSL040230
Source: RNAcentral
UAUGACUAAAUGUCAUGUGUAUGAUUAAGUAUAAGAACUAGAACCACAUCUGGUUGCCAAAAGCUAAAGUAGAGUUUCCUGGUUAAAGAUACAAAGCCAAAGACUCAAAUGGAUUGCGACUACACCAUCAAAGCUUUAAGAAGCAAUAAGAAGCUUGGUUAGAUGUCAUGUGUAUGAAUGAGUAUAAAAACUAGAACCGCAACGGUUUCUAAAAGCUAUAGUAGUGUUUCCUUGUUAGAAGAUACAAAUCCAAAGACUCAUACGGACUUAAGCU